This 1681-nucleotide ribosomal RNA is filed under the name Neoparamoeba sp. 591L1. Its description in RNAcentral is "bacterial SSU rRNA". It matches the Rfam family "Eukaryotic small subunit ribosomal RNA", at positions 319 to 1734 of the family's 1831-position model. Lineage: Eukaryota; Discosea; Flabellinia; Dactylopodida; Paramoebidae. The record is from RNAcentral.
CUUUCGAUGGUAGUAUAGAGGACUACCAUGGUGUUAACGGGUAACGGAGAAUCAGGGUUUGAUUCCGGAGAAGGAGCCUGAGAAACGGCUACUACUUCCAAGGAAGGCAGCAGGCGCGCAAAUUACCCAAUCCCGACACGGGGAGGUAGUGACAAAAAAUAACAAUACCGGUCUUAUUUAAGUCUGGUAAUUGGAAUGAGUACAAUCUAAAUCCUUUAACGAGUAUCAAUUGGAGGGCAAGUCUGGUGCCAGCAGCCGCGGUAAUUCCAGCUCCAAUAGCAUAUAUUAAAGUUGUUGCAGUUAAAAAGCUCGUAGUUGGAUUUUGAAGUUUACAUAUUAUGACCCACUUUGUAUUAAGUGUGACUUUUGUUGUGAUAUGUACUUCUCCUUACUAGACUUUCACUAUUACACUUUAUUGAGUGAUAGUUUCAUUUUAAUUUAUUAGAAUGAGUGAUAAGCAGACCUAUUGGGUUUAAGAUUGUGGAGGUUCUUUUUCGAAAGUUCGUUCUGCUUAGAUUCAGUAACUGUUUAUUAGAAAUCUAGUUCAUUUACUUUGAGUAAAUUAGAGUGUUCAAGGCAAGCAAAAUAUUAAUUUUCUGCAAUGAAUACUAUUAGCAUGGGAUAAUGGAACAGGACAUGUAUUCUAGUUUUCCGUUGGUUUCUAGAAUUUUUUAAAGUCUCUCUUUUCGGAGAGAGAUGAAGUGUAAUGAUUAAAAGGGACAGUUGGGGGCAUUCGUAUUUCAUUGUCAGAGGUGAAAUUCUUGGAUUUAUGAAAGACGAACUUCUGCGAAAGCAUUUGCCAAAGAUGUUUUCAUUAAUCAAGAACGAAAGUUAGGGGAUCGAAGACGAUCAGAUACCGUCGUAGUCUUAACCAUAAACUAUGCCGACCAGGGAUUGGAAGAUGUCUUAUCCAGUGUAACAGCUGGAAAACUCCUUCAGUACCUUACGAGAAAUCACAAGUCUUUGGGUUCUGGGGGGAGUAUGGUCGCAAGGCUGAAACUUAAAGGAAUUGACGGAAGGGCACCACCAGGAGUGGAGCCUGCGGCUUAAUUUGACCCAACACGGGAAAACUUACCAGGUCCAGACACAGUUAGGAUUGACAGAUUGAGAGUUCUUUCUUGAUUCUGUGGGUGGUGGUGCAUGGCCGUUCUUAGUUGGUGGAGUGAUUUGUCUGGUUAAUUCCGAUAACGAACGAGACCUCAGCUUAUUAAUUAGUUAUGCAAAUGAUUACAUCCAUUUAAUUGGGAAGGGUUUCUAAUGUAAGCUUGGGGUUUGACUCUGAGAUUGAUUAGAAAAACUUGUUUUUAUUUGUGAGAGUUUUGAUUUAUCAAAUUCGUUAAUAACUUCUUAGAGGGACACUUGGUGUUUAACCAAGGGAAGUCUGAGGCAAUAACAGGUCUGUGAUGCCCUUUAGAUGUUCUGGGCUGCACGCGCGCUACACUGAUACGAACAACGAGUACUGAAGCCCUCAUUCGAAAGGAUGGGGUAAACUUAUGAAAUCGUAUCGUGCUGGGGAUCGAUAAUUGCAAUUAUUUAUCGUGAACGAGGAAUUCCUAGUAAGCGCAAGUCAACAGCUCGCGCUGAUUAUGUCCCUGCCCUUUGUACACACCGCCCGUCGCUCCUACCGAUGUUUGGUCCGGUGAAAUCUUAGGAUUCGUAGCAUACACUUAUUAUCACUCUC